AUUGAACGCUGGCGGAAUGCUUUACACAUGCAAGUCGAGCGGCAGCGCGGCCUUCGGGCUGGCGGCGAGCGGCGAACGGGUGAGUAAUGCAUCGGAACAUGCCCAGUCGUGGGGGAUAACACUUCGAAAGAAGUGCUAAUACCGCAUACGUCCUGAGGGGGAAAGCGGGGGAUCGCAAGACCUCGCGCGAUUGGAGUGGCCGAUGUCAGAUUAGCUAGUUGGUGGGGUAAAGGCCUACCAAGGCGACGAUCUGUAGCUGGUCUGAGAGGAUGAUCAGCCACACUGGGACUGAGACACGGCCCAGACUCCUACAGGAGGCAGCAGUGGGGAAUUUUGGACAAUGGGGGCAACCCUGAUCCAGCCAUUCCGCGUGAGUGAAGAAGGCCUUCGGGUUGUAAAGCUCUUUCGGCAGGAACGAAACGGUGGGCUCUAACAUAGUCCGCUAAUGACGGUACCUGAAGAAGAAGCACCGGCUAACUACGUG
Molecule: ribosomal RNA, 484 nt
Filed under: uncultured bacterium
Lineage: Bacteria
Description: partial 16S ribosomal RNA
Rfam family: Bacterial small subunit ribosomal RNA
Source: RNAcentral